Long non-coding RNA from Ostrinia nubilalis (European corn borer), 1619 nucleotides. RefSeq lists it as uncharacterized. The record is from RefSeq and is a predicted model, not a curated record. Lineage: Eukaryota; Metazoa; Arthropoda; Insecta; Lepidoptera; Crambidae. The transcript has 2 exons.
AUAAAAUUUAUUUUGUAUGAAAAUUAAAAAAAUUAAAAUGAUGAUAUCAAAUUUCUGACUUCACUAUACCAUUUAUAUGCCCAUGUUAACAUGGGCUAGUGUCGGCUCAUAUACCCAUUUACCUAACACCCUGUAUAGAUUGUAUUGACCAAGGUUGGGUGUCUGAGGAACAUAAAGUAAAGACCAUUAUAAAAAGAGAAACUGCAUCGAAAUCUCAAACGUUAUUUGCAGUUUCUUGAUUGAAUUGUGGUGAAUUACAUUAUAUUUCUCAGCUGUAUGAAUUGGAAUAAUGGUAGGAAUGAAGAAGCACACUGGUGGCCCGCAUUCUGAAACUACGCUCACAACUUGAUUCGAACAUAAGUUUUAGGUGUGUUUAAAUCCAGUUUUGAGGUUCGUUUCAUAAUACGGACCCGAGAAUAGUAUAGUCGAAGCAAUAGUUUAAUAUAACACUGUAAAAUUACCUCAUAAUCCAUGGCCUUUCCUUAAAUAAUACUAUGUCCUAGAAAGUACUGACUGAGCAAUGUACUGGAUAUUUUGUGGUAAAUCGUUAAAACUCUCGUUUGUAAUGUUGAAUAAUAUGCUUUGUUACCAUAAUUUUGUUUUCGCUUCUCCCUUAGUGUAUUAGUGUAUUAUAUUAAUUAAUUUAAAUUAUUUUAGGGUUGUUUUCUGUAAUUUUGGGGGUUUUCUGUAAUUUAAUACAAAUUAAGGAAAUAUUAUUAUAGAAAUUCUUCAAAGGCACAUAAAAUAUGUUAUUAUACCUGUAUUUACUUACAUGUUGGAAUAUUUAGAUUUUGAUCUCUUAUACCUUAUUAUGUUAUUGUAAUUUUGCUCUGCAUUUGUGCGACAAACUAUAUUUUAUGUCAAUUUUAUAAUAACAGUGUCCCGUAUUCUAAAAAUAUUUUUAAGUGAUUUAAAUGUCUAUCCUAAAAACUAGUUGAAAACAGAGAAUUUUCAAAGCAUUAUGGUUAAUGAUUGUUAGUAAAUAGAAUUCGUAUACCUAAUUAUAGAUUAAUUUAUUAAAAGAAAGUGAAAAACAUUCAAUGAUAAAAUAUUCUGUUUUCAUCUGGCGAUAUUAUUAUUUCUUUCUUAUCAAUUGUAUUUUAUAGAAAAAUAUUAUCUCAUACAAAAUAUUAUGGAUUUUGUACGGACACAUUCUGGAUUGCGGUGGCGCAGUAUUUCCUUCGUGAUUGUCACUUGUGGCUAAUAUAAAAAAAUCUAAGAAAAUGUAUUUUGUCUAUGGUUGAACAAAUUGAUAACUUUCAAAUGGGUAAUAAAUUAUGAAAUUACAUAAAAUUUAAUAAAUCUCUAGAGCAAUUUAUUUCAUUAAAAUCGAGCAAAUGCAGGAACUUUAUUAAUUCUACAUUAAAUGCUUUAAUCGCUCUAGAGAACGUUAUAAAUUAAUUUUUUACUUAGGUGCAGGUACUUAUUUGUUAUUUAAGUUGUACCUAUGUCUGCGCAUUUUAUCCCGCAACCCAGCUUUUAGUAAAUACUUAAUUCUUCAAUGUUCUGGCUCAAAAUGUACAUAGAUGAAAGAGUACAAUUCCUUAUUGUAAUUACUUGUAAUCUUAUUAGCUAUUGCAUAAGUGAUUCGCAAUGAAUAAAAAGCAUUUUAUGACGAA